Molecule: ribosomal RNA, 406 nt
Filed under: uncultured bacterium
Lineage: Bacteria
Description: partial 16S ribosomal RNA
Rfam family: Bacterial small subunit ribosomal RNA
Source: RNAcentral
AUUGAACGCUGGCGGCAGGCCUAACACAUGCAAGUCGAACGCGUGGCGGACGGGUGAGUAUAGUCUGGGAAACAGCCCGAUGGAGGGGGAUAACUAUAGGAAACGGUAGCUAAUACCGCAUAUCACAGGCUGUGCCCACAUGGGAUUAUCUUGUAGGUGUGGUAACGGCUCACCUGGGCGACGAUCCCCAGCUGGUCUGAGAGGAUGACCAGCCACCCUGGAACUGAGACACGGUCCAGGCUCCUACGGGAGGCAGCAGUGGGGAAUAUUGCACAAAGGGCGCAAGCCUGAUGCAGCCAUGCCGCGUGUAUGAAGAAGGCCUUCGGGUUGUAAAGUACUUUCAGCGGGGAGGCGUUACCCGCAGAAGAAGCACCGGCUAACUCCGUGCCAGCAGCCGCGGUAAUUC